GACGAACGCUGGCGGCACGCUUAACACAUGCAAGUCGAACGAAGAUAUUUCACCGUAGCUUGCUACACCGAGAUAUCUUAGUGGCGGACGGGUGAGUAACACGUGAGCAAUCUGCCUUUCAGAGGGGGAUACCUGUUGGAAACGACAGUUAAUACCGCAUAACAUAGUUUUAUCGCAUGAUGAGAUUAUCAAAGAUUUAUCGCUGAAAGAUGAGCUCGCGUCUGAUUAGAUAGUUGGUGAGGUAACGGCUCACCAAGUCAACGAUCAGUAGCCGGACUGAGAGGUUGAACGGCCACAUUGGGACUGAGAUACGGCCCAGACUCCUACGGGAGGCAGCAGUGGGGAAUAUUGGGCAAUGGGCGAAAGCCUGACCCAGCAACGCCGCGUGAAGGAGAAGGCCUUCGGUUGGUAAACUUCUUUUACCUAGGACGAAGAACGUAGACGGUACC
Molecule: ribosomal RNA, 449 nt
Filed under: uncultured bacterium
Lineage: Bacteria
Description: bacterial SSU rRNA
Rfam family: Bacterial small subunit ribosomal RNA
Source: RNAcentral